Molecule: long non-coding RNA, 766 nt
Filed under: Scleropages formosus (Asian bonytongue)
Lineage: Eukaryota; Metazoa; Chordata; Actinopteri; Osteoglossiformes; Osteoglossidae
Description: lncRNA (ENSSFOG00015026217.1)
Source: RNAcentral
CUGAUGUAUGGAUGGGUGACCCAGUGUAAGUAGUGUAUCUAGCAGUGUAAGUCACAUUGGUGAAUAAGGUGUGGGCUGAUAACACUACGUAUAGUUCAUUGGGAGUUGCUUUGGAGAAAAGCAUCUGCUAAAUAAAUAAAUGUAAUGUUUAUUUCGGUGUUUCUAGGUGUCUUCCUAAUUUUCAUGAUGCCAACCGUACCAGCAAAUAAUCUAAAGGAGCAACUCGAACGACAUACAGGUCAGAACAAGAUGUCCUUGUCAAAGGCCAAAGCGGGGACUUUUGCCUUUAAAAAGAAAUCUGAGUCAUGUGUUGCUAAACCUGCAGUUCCUUCAGAGGUAAAUGCAAAUACUUUAGUCAACAGGAACAUCAAGGUCCUCUACCACAAGACAGUUUUUAAUACUUUGACAUCUUUAACUGAGACUGAAAGACAACCAGCAAAAUCCAGCAGCUUCUUCACUACCCCCAAGCAACAGGUUAUGGCACCGACAGUAGACAGGUCACCUGUUUGCAGUUCAACUCCAGCAUUUUCCACUUCUAAAGUUCCUUCUGCACGAUCAAAGCCACACAUAGCAUCCACAGCAAACAGCUGUAGCCAAAAUAUUGAGCUUGACAGCUCUUACAUCAUUGACAUUGACAGCUGGGAUGAUUUUGAUGACUUUGAAACUCCUGUCAGAGGGAAGACUAGUACACUACUCACCUCAGUGGACUUACAGAGGACUAGCAAUGCUGGAGAUCUUUCCACUGUGAGUAAAAAGGACACUGAGA